UUGGUUAAGUUAGAAAGGGCGCACGGUGGAUGCCUUGGCACUAGGAGCCGAAGAAGGACGGGACUAACACCGAUAUGCUUUGGGGAGCUGUACGUAAGCGUUGAUCCAGAGAUUUCCGAAUGGGGGAACCCACUAUCUUUAGUCGGAUAGUAUCCUUACGUGAAUACAUAGCGUGAGGAAGGCAGACCCAGGGAACUGAAACAUCUAAGUACCUGGAGGAAGAGAAAGAAAAAUCGAUUUCCUGAGUAGCGGCGAGCGAAACGGAAAGAGCCCAAACCAAGAAGCUUGCUUCUUGGGGUUGUAGGACACUCUAUACGGAGUUACAAAAGAAAGUUAUAAAUGAAGCGGUCUGGAAAGGCCCGCCAAAGACGGUAACAGCCCGGUAGUUGAAAUGGCUUUCCCUCCAGAGUGGAUCCUGAGUACGGCGGAACACGUGAAAUUCCGUCGGAAUCCGGGAGGACCAUCUCCCAAGGCUAAAUACUCCCUAGUGACCGAUAGUGAACCAGUACCGUGAGGGAAAGGUGAAAAGCACCCCGGAAGGGGAGUGAAACAGUUCCUGAAACCGUGUGCCUACAAGUAGUUAGAGCCCGUUAAUGGGUGAUAGCGUGCCUUUUGUAGAAUGAACCGGCGAGUUACGAUUUGUUGCAAGGUUAAGCGGAAAAAGCGGAGCCGUAGCGAAAGCGAGUCUGAAUAGGGCGCAUAAGUAACAGGUCGUAGACCCGAAACCAGGUGAUCUACCCAUGUCCAGGAUGAAGGUAAGGUAAUACUUACUGGAGGUCCGAACCCACGCACGUUGAAAAGUGCGGGGAUGAGGUGUGGGUAGCGGAGAAAUUCCAAUCGAACUUGGAGAUAGCUGGUUCUCUCCGAAAUAGCUUUAGGGCUAGCCUCGAGGUAAAGAGUCAUGGAGGUAGAGCACUGUUUGGACUAGGGGCCCUUCUCGGGUUACCGAAUUCAGAUAAACUCCGAAUGCCAUGUACUUAUAC
Molecule: ribosomal RNA, 983 nt
Filed under: Listeria monocytogenes
Lineage: Bacteria; Bacillati; Bacillota; Bacilli; Caryophanales; Listeriaceae
Description: bacterial LSU rRNA
Rfam family: Bacterial large subunit ribosomal RNA
Source: RNAcentral